UAGGGAAUCUUCCGCAAUGGACGCAAGUCUGACGGAGCAACGCCGCGUGAGUGAAGAAGGAUUUCGGUUCGUAAAACUCUGUUGUUAGAGAAGAACAGCGCAUAGAGUAACUGUUAUGCGUGUGACGGUAUCUAACCAGAAAGCCACGGCUAACUACGUGCCAGCAGCCGCGGUAAUACGUAGGUGGCAAGCGUUGUCCGGAUUUAUUGGGCGUAAAGCGAGCGCAGGCGGUCAAUUAAGUCUGAUGUGAAAGCCCCCGGCUCAACCGGGGAGGGUCAUUGGAAACUGGUUGACUUGAGUGCAGAAGAGGAGAGUGGAAUUCCAUGUGUAGCGGUGAAAUGCGUAGAUAUAUAGAGGAACCCCAGUGGCGAAGGCGACUCUCUGGUCUGUAACUGACGCUGAGGCUCGAAAGCGUGGGUAGCAAACAGG
Molecule: ribosomal RNA, 429 nt
Filed under: Bacteroidota bacterium
Lineage: Bacteria; Pseudomonadati; Bacteroidota
Description: Bacteroidetes bacterium partial 16S ribosomal RNA
Rfam family: Bacterial small subunit ribosomal RNA
Source: RNAcentral